CCUACGGGAGGCUGCAGUGGGGAAUAUUGCACAAUGGGCGCAAGCCUGAUGCAGCCAUGCCGCGUGUGUGAAGAAGGCCUUCGGGUUGUAAAGCACUUUCAGCGGGGAGGAAGGCGGUGAGGUUAAUAACCUCAUCGAUUGACGUUACCCGCAGAAGAAGCACCGGCUAACUCCGUGCCAGCAGCCGCGGUAAUACGGAGGGUGCAAGCGUUAAUCGGAAUUACUGGGCGUAAAGCGCACGCAGGCGGUCUGUCAAGUCGGAUGUGAAAUCCCCGGGCUCAACCUGGGAACUGCAUUCGAAACUGGCAGGCUAGAGUCUUGUAGAGGGGGGUAGAAUUCCAGGUGUAGCGGUGAAAUGCGUAGAGAUCUGGAGGAAUACCGGUGGCGAAGGCGGCCCCCUGGACAAAGACUGACGUUCAGGUGCGAAAGCGUGGGGAGCAAACAGGAUUAGAUACCCCUGUAGUC
RNAcentral lists this ribosomal RNA (465 nucleotides) under uncultured Klebsiella sp. RNAcentral's name for it is "bacterial SSU rRNA". It matches the Rfam family "Bacterial small subunit ribosomal RNA", at positions 338 to 795 of the family's 1533-position model. The record is from RNAcentral. Lineage: Bacteria; Pseudomonadati; Pseudomonadota; Gammaproteobacteria; Enterobacterales; Enterobacteriaceae.